RNAcentral lists this ribosomal RNA (122 nucleotides) under Fragaria x ananassa (strawberry). RNAcentral also lists the same sequence under 1 other name. Lineage: Eukaryota; Viridiplantae; Streptophyta; Magnoliopsida; Rosales; Rosaceae. The record is from RNAcentral.
GGAUGCGAUCAUACCAGCAAUAAUGCACCGGAUCCCAUCAGAACUCCGAAGUUAAGCUUGCUUGGGCGAGAGUAGUACUAGGAUGGGUGACCUCCUGGGAAGGCCUCGUGUUGCAUCCCUCU